CCAUCUCUUUCUCUCUCUUUUUCUCUCUCUCACACGCACGCACGCGCGCUCACACGCACACAUCCAUGGAGCUGGCGCGCAGAGCAGUGGCGCCCAUCCUCUCUCUCUCAGUGCGACUCCUCCGAGGGAUCAGGAGUAGACUAAGUCAAACUUCCAGCAGCUUAAGAUUUGUGCGCAACCUUUAAGAGGUCCAAGUCGUCAAGUGCUGAAGACCAGGAGGUGGAAACAUGGGAUAUAAUGUCAGCAGAGUCAAGAGGAGUCUAAUACACUAAAAAAAAACUGGUGUCUGCGGUGAUGUUGCCAUGUACCAGCUGCCAUCUGCUCUUAUCCUUCUUUAUUCAGG
This is a long non-coding RNA of Micropterus dolomieu (smallmouth bass), 343 nucleotides long. RefSeq lists it as uncharacterized. The transcript has 3 exons. Lineage: Eukaryota; Metazoa; Chordata; Actinopteri; Centrarchiformes; Centrarchidae. The record is from RefSeq and is a predicted model, not a curated record.